This is a long non-coding RNA of Cyprinus carpio carpio, 650 nucleotides long. Lineage: Eukaryota; Metazoa; Chordata; Actinopteri; Cypriniformes; Cyprinidae. The record is from Ensembl.
CCGGAGAUAGCACAGUACGCUGUGUCCAGCCCAGAGGUGAAAGCCAUCCAAAGCAGAGUAACUGUGCUAUUGUGCCCAAGUUGAUACCUGUGGAGAGAAAAGGAGAGAGAGUGAAUAACACGAGGAGGAAUAGAGCGAACCCUGUACUUACAGUACGCUGUGUCCAGCCCAGAGGUGAGAGCCAUUCAAAGCAAACUAACUGUGCUAUUGUGCCCAAGUUGAUACCUGUGGAGAGAAAAAGGAGAGAGUGGGUAACACGAGGAGAGACCGAGGAAACCUGUACUUACGCCGCUGCCUGUGGAGAAAGAGAAAGCGACCGUUGCCUGUGGAGAAAGAGAAAGAGACCGUUGCCUGUGGAGGAAGAGAAAGAGAGUGAGCACCCCGAGAACGAACUGUGUGAACCAGUACUUACCGUGAGCUGUAUUCAGCGAAGAGGAGGAAGAAGGAGGGCGCUACGGAUACCUAAGACUCAGGCCGGGGCCCGAGUCCCACGCCCCGGAUCCCCGUGGCCCCCUUGCUCCCUGACCUCUUCCCGGCCAUAGCCCAUCUGGAGGGCCGAGUCAGAGUUUAGUUUUAAUUGCCCUUUUCCUAUUCCCCAAGCUAUUUUUAAAUAUUUAAAUAAAGAUUGUUUUAUCACUUACUUGUUCUCG